CGGCGUGGGGACACGUAGCUGGUGGGAUCGCGCCAUGGCCUGGGCCCCUCUGCUCCUCGUGGUGCUCGCCCACGGCUCAGGUUCCCUGGUCCAGGCAGCGGUGACUCAGCCGGCCUCGGUGUCCGUGUCCCCGGGAGAAACCGCCCGCAUCACCUGCUCUGGGGGUGACAGUGACUACUAUGGCAGCAGCUACUAUGGCUGGAUCCAGCAGAAACCUGGUGGUGCCCCAGUCGCUGUGAUAUACCAGAAUGACAAGAGACCCUCGGGCAUCCCUGCGCGAUUCUCCGGUUCCAAGUCCGGCUCCACGGGCACGUUAACCAUCACUGGGGUGCAAGCCGAGGACGAGGCCAUGUAUUGCUGUGGUGGCUAUGUUAGCAGCAGUGAUGCUGCUGUGGUGGUGAAGAGGGAUGGGAAAGUGAGACGCACACAUCCUCUGCUCCGGGGUUAACAACAACUAUGGCUGGUACCAGCAGAAACCAGGAACUGUCCCUGUCGCUGUGAUUUACUACAACAACAGAUCCUCAGUCAUUGCUGUGUGAUUCUCCAAUACUGCCUUGGGGUGCUGUUGUUGAGGGAUAACCAACGUGUGGGAAAGGCUUCUUGACGGGCUCUUUCACAGGUUUUGGUGAGUCCAGCACCCUUGGCCUUGGAGAUCCCUCUUAGGACCAUUGCCCUGUCCUGCAGCCUGGGCACAGGGUGGCCACCACCAGCAACUACCCAGACUGGAUCCAGCAGAAACCUGGCUCUGUCCCAAAAACUUUCAUCUGCAGUACUUGCAGUGUAG
Molecule: non-coding RNA, 784 nt
Organism: Dromaius novaehollandiae (emu)
Lineage: Eukaryota; Metazoa; Chordata; Aves; Casuariiformes; Dromaiidae
Source: the annotation of a RefSeq genome assembly